GGCGGACGGGUGAGUAAUAAAUAGGAAUCUGCCUAGUAGUGGGGGGACAACCUGGUGAAAACCAGGCUAAUACCGCAUACGCCCUACGGGGGAAAACGGAGGAUCUUCGGACCUCGUGCUACUAGAUGGGCCUAUAUCAGAUUAGCUAGUUGGUAAGGUAAUGGCUUACCAAGGCGACGAUCUGUAGCUGGUUUGAGAGAAUGAUCAGCCACACUGGGACUGAGACACGGCCCAG
RNAcentral lists this ribosomal RNA (235 nucleotides) under uncultured bacterium. RNAcentral describes it as "partial 16S ribosomal RNA". It matches the Rfam family "Bacterial small subunit ribosomal RNA", at positions 97 to 334 of the family's 1533-position model. The record is from RNAcentral.